RNAcentral lists this ribosomal RNA (2771 nucleotides) under Klebsiella pneumoniae. RNAcentral's name for it is "bacterial LSU rRNA". It matches the Rfam family "Bacterial large subunit ribosomal RNA". Lineage: Bacteria; Pseudomonadati; Pseudomonadota; Gammaproteobacteria; Enterobacterales; Enterobacteriaceae. The record is from RNAcentral.
AGCGUACACGGUGGAUGCCCUGGCAGUCAGAGGCGAUGAAGGACGUGCUAAUCUGCGAAAAGCGUCGGUAAGGUGAUAUGAACCGUUACAGCCGGCGAUGUCCGAAUGGGGAAACCCAGUGCAAUUCGUUGCACUAUCGUUAACUGAAUACAUAGGUUAACGAGGCGAACCGGGGGAACUGAAACAUCUAAGUACCCCGAGGAAAAGAAAUCAACCGAGAUUCCCCCAGUAGCGGCGAGCGAACGGGGAGCAGCCCAGAGUCUGAAUCAGCUUGUGUGUUAGUGGAACGGUCUGGAAAGUCCGACGGUACAGGGUGAUAGUCCCGUACACCAAAAUGCACAGGCUGUGAACUCGAAGAGUAGGGCGGGACACGUGGUAUCCUGUCUGAAUAUGGGGGGACCAUCCUCCAAGGCUAAAUACUCCUGACUGACCGAUAGUGAACCAGUACCGUGAGGGAAAGGCGAAAAGAACCCCGGCGAGGGGAGUGAAAAAGAACCUGAAACCGUGUACGUACAAGCAGUGGGAGCACCUUCGGGUGUGACUGCGUACCUUUUGUAUAAUGGGUCAGCGACUUAUAUUCUGUAGCAAGGUUAACCGUAUAGGGGAGCCGCAGGGAAACCGAGUCUUAACUGGGCGUUAAGUUGCAGGGUAUAGACCCGAAACCCGGUGAUCUAGCCAUGGGCAGGUUGAAGGUUGGGUAACACUAACUGGAGGACCGAACCGACUAAUGUUGAAAAAUUAGCGGAUGACUUGUGGCUGGGGGUGAAAGGCCAAUCAAACCGGGAGAUAGCUGGUUCUCCCCGAAAGCUAUUUAGGUAGCGCCUCGUGAACUCAUCUUCGGGGGUAGAGCACUGUUUCGGCUAGGGGGUCAUCCCGACUUACCAACCCGAUGCAAACUACGAAUACCGAAGAAUGUUAUCACGGGAGACACACGGCGGGUGCUAACGUCCGUCGUGAAGAGGGAAACAACCCAGACCGCCAGCUAAGGUCCCAAAGUCAUGGUUAAGUGGGAAACGAUGUGGGAAGGCACAGACAGCCAGGAUGUUGGCUUAGAAGCAGCCAUCAUUUAAAGAAAGCGUAAUAGCUCACUGGUCGAGUCGGCCUGCGCGGAAGAUGUAACGGGGCUAAACCAUGCACCGAAGCUGCGGCAGCGACACUAUGUGUUGUUGGGUAGGGGAGCGUUCUGUAAGCCUGCGAAGGUGUGCUGUGAGGCAUGCUGGAGGUAUCAGAAGUGCGAAUGCUGACAUAAGUAACGAUAAAGCGGGUGAAAAGCCCGCUCGCCGGAAGACCAAGGGUUCCUGUCCAACGUUAAUCGGGGCAGGGUGAGUCGACCCCUAAGGCGAGGCCGAAAGGCGUAGUCGAUGGGAAACAGGUUAAUAUUCCUGUACUUGGUGUUACUGCGAAGGGGGGACGGAGAAGGCUAUGUUAGCCGGGCGACGGUUGUCCCGGUUUAAGCAUGUAGGCUGAUUGUCCAGGCAAAUCCGGAUAAUCAAGGCUGAGGUGUGAUGACGAGGCACUACGGUGCUGAAGUAACAAAUGCCCUGCUUCCAGGAAAAGCCUCUAAGCAUCAGGUAACAUUAAAUCGUACCCCAAACCGACACAGGUGGUCAGGUAGAGAAUACCAAGGCGCUUGAGAGAACUCGGGUGAAGGAACUAGGCAAAAUGGUGCCGUAACUUCGGGAGAAGGCACGCUGGUGUGUAGGUGAAGUCCCUGCGGAUGGAGCUGAGACCAGUCGAAGAUACCAGCUGGCUGCAACUGUUUAUUAAAAACACAGCACUGUGCAAACACGAAAGUGGACGUAUACGGUGUGACGCCUGCCCGGUGCCGGAAGGUUAAUUGAUGGGGUUAUCCGUAAGGAGAAGCUCUUGAUCGAAGCCCCGGUAAACGGCGGCCGUAACUAUAACGGUCCUAAGGUAGCGAAAUUCCUUGUCGGGUAAGUUCCGACCUGCACGAAUGGCGUAAUGAUGGCCAGGCUGUCUCCACCCGAGACUCAGUGAAAUUGAACUCGCUGUGAAGAUGCAGUGUACCCGCGGCAAGACGGAAAGACCCCGUGAACCUUUACUAUAGCUUGACACUGAACAUUGAGCCUUGAUGUGUAGGAUAGGUGGGAGGCUUUGAAGCGUGGACGCCAGUCUGCGUGGAGCCAACCUUGAAAUACCACCCUUUAAUGUUUGAUGUUCUAACGUUGGCCCCUGACCGGGGUUGCGGACAGUGUCUGGUGGGUAGUUUGACUGGGGCGGUCUCCUCCCAAAGCGUAACGGAGGAGCACGAAGGUUAGCUAAUCCUGGUCGGACAUCAGGAGGUUAGUGCAAUGGCAUAAGCUAGCUUGACUGCGAGCGUGACGGCGCGAGCAGGUGCGAAAGCAGGUCAUAGUGAUCCGGUGGUUCUGAAUGGAAGGGCCAUCGCUCAACGGAUAAAAGGUACUCCGGGGAUAACAGGCUGAUACCGCCCAAGAGUUCAUAUCGACGGCGGUGUUUGGCACCUCGAUGUCGGCUCAUCACAUCCUGGGGCUGAAGUAGGUCCCAAGGGUAUGGCUGUUCGCCAUUUAAAGUGGUACGCGAGCUGGGUUUAGAACGUCGUGAGACAGUUCGGUCCCUAUCUGCCGUGGGCGCUGGAGAAUUGAGGGGGGCUGCUCCUAGUACGAGAGGACCGGAGUGGACGCAUCACUGGUGUUCGGGUUGUCAUGCCAAUGGCACUGCCCGGUAGCUAAAUGCGGAAGAGAUAAGUGCUGAAAGCAUCUAAGCACGAAACUUGCCCCGAGAUGAGUUCU